RNAcentral lists this ribosomal RNA (429 nucleotides) under Gemmatimonadota bacterium. RNAcentral's name for it is "Gemmatimonadetes bacterium partial 16S ribosomal RNA". It matches the Rfam family "Bacterial small subunit ribosomal RNA", at positions 355 to 776 of the family's 1533-position model. Lineage: Bacteria; Pseudomonadati; Gemmatimonadota. The record is from RNAcentral.
UAGGGAAUCUUCGGCAAUGGACGAAAGUCUGACCGAGCAACGCCGCGUGAGUGAAGAAGGUUUUCGGAUCGUAAAACUCUGUUGUUAGAGAAGAACAAGGACGUUAGUAACUGAACGUCCCCUGACGGUAUCUAACCAGAAAGCCACGGCUAACUACGUGCCAGCAGCCGCGGUAAUACGUAGGUGGCAAGCGUUGUCCGGAUUUAUUGGGCGUAAAGCGAGCGCAGGCGGUUUCUUAAGUCUGAUGUGAAAGCCCCCGGCUCAACCUGGGAGGGUCAUUGGAAACUGGGAGACUUGAGUGCAGAAGAGGAGAGUGGAAUUCCAUGUGUAGCGGUGAAAUGCGUAGAUAUAUGGAGGAACACCAGUGGCGAAGGCGGCUCUCUGGUCUGUAACUGACGCUGAGGCUCGAAAGCGUGGGGAGCAAACAGG